This 577-nucleotide ribosomal RNA is filed under the name Bacillus sp. ES20. Its description in RNAcentral is "bacterial SSU rRNA". It matches the Rfam family "Bacterial small subunit ribosomal RNA", at positions 32 to 592 of the family's 1533-position model. The record is from RNAcentral. Lineage: Bacteria; Bacillati; Bacillota; Bacilli; Caryophanales; Bacillaceae.
AACGCUGGCGGCGUGCCUAAUACAUGCAAGUCGAGCGAACAGAAGGGAGCUUGCUCCCGGAUGUUAGCGGCGGACGGGUGAGUAACACGUGGGUAACCUGCCUGUAAGACUGGGAUAACUCCGGGAAACCGGAGCUAAUACCGGAUAGUUCCUUGAACCGCAUGGUUCAAGGAUGAAAGACGGUUUCGGCUGUCACUUACAGAUGGACCCGCGGCGCAUUAGCUAGUUGGUGGGGUAAUGGCUCACCAAGGCGACGAUGCGUAGCCGACCUGAGAGGGUGAUCGGCCACACUGGGACUGAGACACGGCCCAGACUCCUACGGGAGGCAGCAGUAGGGAAUCUUCCGCAAUGGACGAAAGUCUGACGGAGCAACGCCGCGUGAGUGAUGAAGGUUUUCGGAUCGUAAAGCUCUGUUGUUAGGGAAGAACAAGUGCGAGAGUAACUGCUCGCACCUUGACGGUACCUAACCAGAAAGCCACGGCUAACUACGUGCCAGCAGCCGCGGUAAUACGUAGGUGGCAAGCGUUGUCCGGAAUUAUUGGGCGUAAAGGGCUCGCAGGCGGUUUCUUAAGUCUGA